Molecule: long non-coding RNA, 1549 nt
Filed under: Nicotiana benthamiana
Lineage: Eukaryota; Viridiplantae; Streptophyta; Magnoliopsida; Solanales; Solanaceae
Description: long non-coding RNA (NBEN_LNC023695)
Source: RNAcentral
AAACAAGUUUGAGUAAUAAAAGUUUCUCUUCUCCAAAAUCUUUCUACUCUUCCAAAAUUCCCUUAGCCUAAAAGCCUCCCUCCAAAUAUUAAUAGCAACCUCUUCCAACAUACCGCACCCCAGGAGUGGUUAAUUCCAUUACUAAAUUAUAGGCGAACCUAUCAUCCAUUAAGUCUUUGAAAUAUUUCGAUAACUAGAAAUAAAUAUUUUUUUGGUAUGAGGGUAGACAAGAUCUAAUUAAUAAGAAUUUCACCACGCAGCAAGCAACUAAAUACUAUUAUCUGGUUGCCUCAUCAUAUAAAAUAAAAAAAUUAUAAGAUACCACUAAAACGGAUUCCUCCGGAACCUAAUAUAUACAAAUUAAAUAUUGAUGCAGCACAUUAACCACGCUCUCAUAGAAAUGGUAUUGGUCGAAUAAUUAGGGAUCAUGAGGGGAGUUGGAUCCUAGGUUUCUCAGGUAUAGUACUCUCUUACGCGCCUAUUACCACAGAAAUACUUGCUUUAUUACAGGGCCUUAUAUUGGUGGUUCAACAUAAUUUAACACCGAUUCAAGUGAAAAUUGACACUAAAGAGGUACUUAGCCUACUGAAGAAUACUAAUAUACUACAUGCUAAUCUACUAAAUGAUUGCAGGAAUCUACUAACGCAGCUACAUGAUCCGUCAGUCAACCAUGCAUAGAGAGAGCAAAAUAGAUUAAUAGACUAGCAAAUGCAGGAAGCUUUUUGACUGAAGACUCUACUAUAUAGAUUUUUGCUGAACCACCACUUUUUGGUAAUAAGAUAUGGAAUGAGGACAUGCUUGGAGUAACUACGACACGCUUGCUACCACAUUGUACGUAUGACUUGGAAGUGCCAACCUGAGGUGUGUGAAACUAGGAGUUAUGACAGUAGUCCUACUUUCAUGGUUAACAAAAACUCAAUAAAACUUUUCAAAGUAGCCGAUCAUAAAGAAGGCGCAAGAGUUGUGAUGGUUGAAUUAUAUGGGCUCAGAGGAAAUGUUUGAUACUCCUAAAAAUAGCUAUGACAACUUUUAAUUUUGAAAAAAGAGACAUCAAAAGUGUUGAGGUAAUACUAUAUUGUUAUUAAAAUUCCAAAAAUAAAUGCACUCCAUGUUAUUUUUAUUAUCAUGUUUUGUGAAUAUUCUUGCACACAAGGAGUAGGAUUGUAAAGUGUCUUGAUUGAUGUAUGACUAGACGUGCAAUGAUAUUUUAAUGGUUUUGAUUGCUAAGAUAUAGUCAAGUCAAAUGUAAGAUGAAGUGCAAGAUUUGGAGCAAGCCGUUUCACAUUUCAGAUGACGAGCAUGCUGCAAUCAGAAACAAUUUCAAAGAGUCAUGAAUAACAAAUUAGGGAUAAAAUCGGGUUUUACUUUCUUUACUUCACUUUUUCUUUGAGAAUUUUACCUUUGUUAUUUAUGAAAUUUAAUUCCUACAAAUAUUAGGGUACAUAUUUGUUGUGUGAUCAUUUUAAUUUGUUGUAUAAAAUUGGUUUGUUUGUAUACAAUUAGUAGGAUGCAUGAAACUGUAUGAAAGAUUGUUACCUGGGUUGCAAGA